AUUAAACGUGUCGGGCUUUUUCGG
Molecule: microRNA, 24 nt
Filed under: Zea mays
Lineage: Eukaryota; Viridiplantae; Streptophyta; Magnoliopsida; Poales; Poaceae
Description: microRNA miR-3007b
Source: RNAcentral